RNAcentral lists this transfer RNA (76 nucleotides) under Actinomadura keratinilytica. RNAcentral describes it as "tRNA-Leu". It matches the Rfam family "tRNA". From Rfam's summary of the family: Transfer RNA (tRNA) molecules are approximately 80 nucleotides in length. The record is from RNAcentral. RNAcentral also lists the same sequence under 1 other name. Lineage: Bacteria; Bacillati; Actinomycetota; Actinomycetes; Streptosporangiales; Thermomonosporaceae.
GCCCCCGUAGCCCAAUUGGCAGAGGCGAACCCCUUAAAAGGGUUAUGUUGUCGGUUCAAUUCCGAUCGGGGGUACC